CCUACGGGCGGCAGCAGUGAGGAAUAUUGGUCAAUGGCCGGAAGGCUGAACCAGCCAUGCCGCGUGAAGGUCAGUGCCCUAUGGGCGUUAAACUUCUUUUGUGCGGGAGCAAUACUGGUCACGUGUGGCCAGACGAGAGUACCGUACGAAUAAGCAUCGGAUAACUCCGUGCCAGCAGCCGCGGUAAUACGGGGGAUUCAAGCGUUAUCCGGAUUUAUUGGGGUUAAAGGGGUCGUAGGCUGUUCGGUAAGUCAGCGGUGAAAUGCCCCCGCUCAACGGGGUGAAGUGCCAUUGAUACUGCCUUGCUGGAAUGCGGAUGCGGUAGGAGGAAUGUGUGGUGUAGCGGUGAAAUGCAUAGAUAUCACACAGAACACCGAUUGCGAAGGCAUCUCACGAAGCCGCGAUUGACGCUGAUGCACGAAAGCGUGGGUAUCAAACAGGAUUAGAUACCCCAGUAGUC
This 460-nucleotide ribosomal RNA is filed under the name uncultured bacterium. RNAcentral's name for it is "partial 16S ribosomal RNA". It matches the Rfam family "Bacterial small subunit ribosomal RNA", at positions 338 to 795 of the family's 1533-position model. The record is from RNAcentral.